Molecule: ribosomal RNA, 422 nt
Filed under: uncultured bacterium
Lineage: Bacteria
Description: bacterial SSU rRNA
Rfam family: Bacterial small subunit ribosomal RNA
Source: RNAcentral
UGAGGAAUAUUGGACAAUGGGCGCAAGCCUGAUCCAGCCAUGCCGCGUGCAGGAAGAAGCAUCUAUGGUGUGUAAACUGCUUUUGUACGGGAAGAAACACUCCUACGUGUAGGAGCUUGACGGUACCGUAAGAAUAAGGAUCGGCUAACUCCGUGCCAGCAGCCGCGGUAAUACGGAGGAUCCAAGCGUUGUCCGGAUUUAUUGGGUUUAAAGGGUGCGUAGGCGGUUUUAUAAGUCAGUGGUGAAAGCCCAUCGCUCAACGAUGGAACGGCCAUUGAUACUGCUAGACUUGAAUUAUUAGGAAGUAACUAGAAUAUGUAGUGUAGCGGUGAAAUGCUUAGAUAUUACAUGGAAUACCAAUUGCGAAGGCAGGUUACUACUAAUGGAUUGACGCUGAUGGACGAAAGCGUGGGGAGCGAACA